RNAcentral lists this ribosomal RNA (443 nucleotides) under uncultured bacterium. Its description in RNAcentral is "bacterial SSU rRNA". It matches the Rfam family "Bacterial small subunit ribosomal RNA", at positions 331 to 792 of the family's 1533-position model. The record is from RNAcentral.
CCAGACUCCUACGGGAGGCAGCAGUGGGGAAUAUUGCACAAUGGGGGGAGCCCUGAUGCAGCGACGCCGCGUGAGUGAAGAAGUAUUUCGGUAUGUAAAGCUCUAUCAGCAGGGAAGAAAAUGACGGUACCUGACUAAGAAGCCCCGGCUAACUACGUGCCAGCAGCCGCGGUAAUACGUAGGGGGCAAGCGUUAUCCGGAUUUACGGGGUGUAAAGGGAGCGUAGACGGAUCGUUAAGUCAGUGGUCAAAUUGGGGGGCCCCACCCAUACCCGCCAUUGAAACUGGCGUUCUUGAGUGGAAGAGAAGUAUGCGGAAUGCGUGGUGUAGCGGUGAAAUGCAUAGAUAUCACGCAGAACCCCGAUUGCGAAGGCAGCAUGCCGGCUUCCGACUGACGCUGAAGCACGAAAGCGUGGGGAUCGAACAGGAUUAGAUACCCGUGUA